ACCUGGCUGGCUCAGUUUGGAAGAGCAUGUGACUGUUGAUCUCAGGGUUGUGAGUUCAAGCCCCACGUUGGGUG
Non-coding RNA from Lutra lutra (Eurasian river otter), 74 nucleotides. NCBI's taxonomy places the organism in Eukaryota, Metazoa, Chordata, Mammalia, Carnivora, Mustelidae. The record is from the annotation of a RefSeq genome assembly.